This is a non-coding RNA of Rattus norvegicus (Norway rat), 278 nucleotides long. Ensembl annotates it as Nuclear RNase P. Lineage: Eukaryota; Metazoa; Chordata; Mammalia; Rodentia; Muridae. The record is from Ensembl.
GGUAGAGGAAGUUCAUCAGUAAGCCAUUUCCAGGUGCUCUUCUCUACCAAUCUGCUGGAAAGGUCUGAAGCUGACUCUUCCUGUGUCCAUAACCCGGCUUUGCCCAAGUACAAAAGUGAGUUCCCAGACAGCAGGGUUCCACCUGUGGACAGACUAGGCAAGAGAGUUCCUGUGUGGGCAGAUGGCCCCUCUCUGGAGCUUGGAACAGAAUCACAAACAGCAUGGAGAGUUCAAAUUCAGUCAGAGUGGUAGAUUGCCCCCAUAAUAUUCUUGCUAUU